UACAGCAUAGGGAAUAUAGUCAAUAAUGAUGAGGGAGCAUGGGGCAAGCUGUGGGCAAAAUACAGGCUGGCACUACCCCCUUCCCCCCACUGCCACAGGUGGAAUCUGUGUGAUAGUCCUUGGACGCUCCCAGCCACCCAAGAACAAAGGAAAGGGGUUUAAGUGCUUGCCUUGGUAAUGUGGGAAACUAAGGAAAAUGAAAAAUUAAAUUCCCUUACUGCCUACAGCCCAUCGACAGGUCCUUGAAACCGGCAGAGUGACCUCCCUCAGGAACUCAGCUGCCUCGAUGAUAACACUUUGCUAGGAGCAAAAGAGAAUCUUAGCUUAACAUCAUCCCAACCUCUAGAAUCCUAGAUUCUGCCAGGAAGAAGGGAUGCAGUGGUGCUCAAGACAGCCAGAGUCUCUUUCCUCAAGAAGAUUCUUACUGCAGAAAGGAAGUUGCAGCCUACGAAUUGCUACAGACAUAUAUAAAAUGAACACAAGUCAAAGAUUUUAUUCAACUCAUUAGUUAAUGAAGGAACCACUAGGAUGUUAAAAUCAUUCCAAGGAGUAUUUGAAAAGCUAAGUAUUUAUAGCAACGUUAGGAUAAGAUUGCUGAGUUAGAUACAGAACCUGUCAGUAUUCCGUGAUGGCCACAAAUCAUAACCCACUGAGAUUAUCUGUUCCACCAGACAAAAAUUAUUUGCAUCUCUAUCAAAUUGGUCCGAAAAAAAGCCACGGGCAAGACAGUGCUGAAAGGGUCUUUGGCAAACAGAAUGGGGACUGUCGGGAAGAAGCAAACUGUACUUCCAUGAACAGUGGGUGCUGGGUGGAUGAGGGUGUUUGAGGGGCCACUCAGCCCACGUUAGGGAAGGAGGGAAGAACAGUUAGCAUGGGGUCGUCUUGGGUCCUCCUGGGGAAGACUGCCUGGAAGGAUAAUAGGAAGGGCCUCCAGAUACUCAAGAGCCAAAAUGGGCUUCAUUCCCAUCGAGGGGGCCACAGCCAGAGGCCCCAGAGGGGAUGUCACAGAGUCCCUCAUGAAAGCUUCACUCAGGAAACAGAAUUAGCAAUAGGACUCCACCCUGCCCAAAGAGCACCACGGCCUGAUUGCACCUGUAGUCAGCAAACACCUUUCCUCGAGUGAGGUGGGGGAAGAAAAGGAAAAAAGCUGACCCACCAAUGGUCUCUAAGCCUGAGGCAGGCCAGGACUGGGGAGAGUGGAGAGCUUUAACUCUGGAUGAAGUAAUGUUUUGACAAUUUUGUUUUCACUGGUUAUUUUAUUUACUAAAAUGGAGUAUAUCUCUGUGAUUGAAAAUGUUGGUACUUUUUAUUACCUGAGGAUGCCUGGAAAGGUGGAGAAUCUUGGCUUGAUUUUUAUCCAGAGACAGAGAAGAAAUGGGCCCUCACACUGGCCACAGCUCCUUGGCGUUGAGUGUUUGGGAUGGGGUGGAGGGAGGCCGGGUGUGGUUUCAAACACCAUCUUCCCUCCGAUCUGGGUGCUGAGCUUUCUAUGUGGGCCAGGGAGGAGGGAGAAGGAAAGGGCACGUGCCUCUUCAUUUAACUGGGUACAGCCAUGGCCUUCUGGGCUGGCUGACUGCUCUUCUGUCUCAUUUUCUAUGAUUUUGAUGAGGACGGCAGUAGCUCCAAUGUGUCAGUUGAUAAGGGACUCACGCCCAAGCAGUCAUCUUCCACAUAAAAGAUCCCUCAAAAGAUUUGAUGGAAAAUUCCAACUUAACCCCAGCUGGUGGCUCUCCUACCAUGUUCCUCUGAUGCAGAUGCCUCCUUGCUCUUUCUGUGGAGGCGGUCAGGGCUGUGGCUCCCAAUCACACCUACACAAAUGGGGAGACUGUUUCUUUUUCUCGUUCAGUUCGCACAGCCUGAGCAUGAGGACAAAAUGAAAUGCGUCUUCUCAUAGACACCACCCAUCUUUGUGAAUGAUUAGAGAGGGGGGAGCAUACUACUUCAAGAUGGUCUGUGGGCAGGAAGAACCUCCUUAGUUUUAUUCACGGAAGGCAAUAGCCCCCUUUGGCAAAUGCGGCGCUACUGAAAGGCUGACCCUCGCUAACCUCCUGUGAGUUUUGAGUAGGGGUGGUGAAUGGGGAUGGAGGAGGGGCUGAUUCUAGAAUUAGAACUCUUGAUAAGCCCAUGUUGUUAUGGUUGGGCCCAAGCAUCUAAAGCUCCCUUGGAGAGAUGGACUUAGAAAGUGGGACACUAAGUGCCUUUUGCUCACCAUUCAGAGCCUUAGUUUCCAUUCUGGGGCAACAGGAAAGCCCUCACUUGCCAAUCGUGUUCUAGUUGCUAGGGAAGAGCCACAGAGACAGGCAUGGAAAGCUCUGCCUUACCAGUCAGAUUUACUAUGUCUCUUUCCAAAGUGAAGAAU
Felis catus (domestic cat) is the source of this 2359-nucleotide long non-coding RNA. RefSeq lists it as uncharacterized. The transcript has 4 exons. NCBI's taxonomy places the organism in Eukaryota, Metazoa, Chordata, Mammalia, Carnivora, Felidae. The record is from RefSeq and is a predicted model, not a curated record.